GGGGAUGUUGCUCAGUGGUAGAGCGCUCGCAUCGCAAGUGAGAGGCCCCGGGUUCAAUCCCCGGCAUCUCCA
RNAcentral lists this transfer RNA (72 nucleotides) under Dreissena polymorpha. RNAcentral's name for it is "transfer RNA alanine (anticodon CGC)". It matches the Rfam family "tRNA". From Rfam's summary of the family: Transfer RNA (tRNA) molecules are approximately 80 nucleotides in length. The record is from Rfam by way of RNAcentral. Lineage: Eukaryota; Metazoa; Mollusca; Bivalvia; Myida; Dreissenidae.